AGCAGUGGGGAAUAUUGGACAAUGGGCGAAAGCCUGAUCCAGCCAUGCCGCGUGUGUGAAGAAGGUCUUCGGAUUGUAAAGCACUUUAAGUUGAGAGGAAGGGCAGUUACCUAAUACGUGAUUGUUUUGACGUUACCGACAGAAUAAGCACCGGCUAACUCUGUGCCAGCAGCCGCGGUAAUACAGAGGGUGCAAGCGUUAAUCGGAAUUACUGGGCGUAAAGCGCGCGUAGGUGGUUUGUUAAGUUGGAUGUGAAAUCCCCGGGCUCAACCUGGGAACUGCAUUCAAAACUGACUGACUAGAGUGUGGUAGAGGGUGGUGGAAUUUCCUGUGUAGCGGUGAAAUGCGUAGAUAUAGGAAGGAACACCAGUGGCGAAAGCGACCACCUGGACCAACACUGACACUGAGG
Molecule: ribosomal RNA, 409 nt
Filed under: uncultured bacterium
Lineage: Bacteria
Description: bacterial SSU rRNA
Rfam family: Bacterial small subunit ribosomal RNA
Source: RNAcentral